RNAcentral lists this ribosomal RNA (465 nucleotides) under uncultured bacterium. RNAcentral's name for it is "partial 16S ribosomal RNA". It matches the Rfam family "Bacterial small subunit ribosomal RNA", at positions 28 to 507 of the family's 1533-position model. The record is from RNAcentral.
GACGAACGCUGGCGGCGUGCUUAACACAUGCAAGUCGAACGGAAAGGCCCUGCUUGCAGGGUACUCGAGUGGCGAACGGGUGAGUAACACGUGGGUGAUCUGCCCUGCACUUCGGGAUAAGCCUGGGAAACUGGGUCUAAUACCGGAUAGGAGCCAUUUUUAGCGUGAUGGUUGGAAAGUUUUUUCGGUGUAGGAUGAGCUCGCGGCCUAUCAGCUUGUUGGUGGGGUAAUGGCCUACCAAGGCGGCGACGGGUAGCCGGCCUGAGAGGGUGGACGGCCACAUUGGGACUGAGAGACGGCCCAGACUCCUACGGGAGGCAGCAGUGGGGAAUAUUGCACAAUGGGCGCAAGCCUGAUGCAGCGACGCCGCGUGGGGGAUGACGGCCUUCGGGUUGUAAACUCCUUUCGCUAGGGACGAAGCUUUUUGUGACGGUACCUAGAUAAGAAGCACCGGCUAACUACGUG